AGGGUCGUAGCUCAAUUGGUAGAGCAGCGGUCUCCAAAACCGCAGGUUGCGGGUUCGAUUCCUGCCGGCCCUG
This 73-nucleotide transfer RNA is filed under the name Chloroflexota bacterium. Its description in RNAcentral is "tRNA-Trp". It matches the Rfam family "tRNA". Rfam says of the family: Transfer RNA (tRNA) molecules are approximately 80 nucleotides in length. Their secondary structure includes four short double-helical elements and three loops (D, anti-codon, and T loops). Lineage: Bacteria; Bacillati; Chloroflexota. RNAcentral also lists the same sequence under 4 other names. The record is from RNAcentral.